This is a long non-coding RNA of Oryzias melastigma (Indian medaka), 1057 nucleotides long. RefSeq lists it as uncharacterized. Lineage: Eukaryota; Metazoa; Chordata; Actinopteri; Beloniformes; Adrianichthyidae. The transcript is spliced from 2 exons. The record is from RefSeq and is a predicted model, not a curated record.
AGAACUGAACGCGCCGCAUCCCAACUACUGCUCCACAACCAGCUCAAACUUGCUGACAAAGAACAUUCCGCCUUCAGACGGCGUUCAUUGGCCAGUCUUCUAAAGUGGGCGGAGCUUCUGUCUGCUACUCGAAAACCUAUUGGCUGUUUGAAGUGGCGGUCUUUGCUAGUUAGCAUAACCAGGCCGGGUUGCAGACGCAGGGCAGGGAGCUGAACUUGUGCGUCGCUCCGGCUUCUAACUUUAAUCUGAACACUGAUUUAUUUGACAUUAAAAUGCGCGACUGGUUGGGAUAAAUCAAGACAUUUAGACGGAUAUGUAUAUUUAUUAUUUUCAUAUUAAUAUGUUUGAAUGAUUACAGAAAUAAACUUGAUCCACUGUGCGUGUGACAGCGGCUAACCUGGUUUUGGGAAUACCUCUGACUGCUACUCGUGGAUCGUAGGACACCUGCAAGCACCCCCUUAUAAUGUACUUCCACUGAGGCCAUCAUCCUGUUUCUGCACCUUAUAGAGCUAAAGUUACGGUGCCAGCAGCAGUUUCCGCCCAGGUCAGCAAUGACUUUUGAUGGCUUUUGUUUCUGUUUAGUAAUUGUUUAAUUUAAUCAACUAAGGAAGAGGUACUGGAGACCCAACAGGACAACUGAGAGCGACAAAGUUAAAGAUGACAUUUUCAUCUCUUUUGAAAAAACAAAAAGCUAAAUGUCUCAUUUUAACUCUUGUACACCUUACUUAAUUUUCACUCUUAUUAUAAUUUAACAUUACGUCAGUUAAAUCAAGUUUGUGUAAUCUUUACUUUUGUCUGUAUAUAAACCAUGCUUCACUUAUUAAGUGACAAGAAUCAAUGGUUCUAGAAUGUAAAUUUAUGAUUAUAAUGUGGAAAUUGUUCACUUCUACAUAAUAGAAAUAUAUUUCAAACACCUUCUGUCUGUUUAUUUAUACAUCAUUUAACUUUUGUUUAAAAUCUUUCGUUUUUUUUUUUUUUACAGACUUCAUAAGUUGUGUUGUUGUGUGAUGAAACAAAUAAAUAAGGAGCAGCAUCUGGAGAGCAUCCUUAAAACUCA